CUAUAAUAAAGCAUUUAGGAGAUAAUCUGGCACAAAAAAGUAAAUUCACAACAAUACUGUACUCUCAGGAAAAUUCAAAAUCGAUGCUUGUAAUCAAAAGGUAAAAUCAAAAGCUCAAACACAUCAUUGAACGAAUGGAUAGCAACUGUCAUAUUCCUGACUUGGUACAUUUAUCUGAAUUUAUGUCAUAUGAUAUGCACUACUGCCGUCAAUGAGAGGUAAUAAUAUCACACAAAAUAUUCAUUAUGAUAAGUCCACACAUUUCUCCGCACCCAGAUGGGGCUUCAGCUGGCACCAUAUCAAUAACAUAUACAAGUUGUUCAUUUGGCAAAAUUAAGAUAAAAAUACAUGGUUACAUCAAAUCCCUUUAUGAUAUCCAGAUUAUUUUCUUUUUGACAUUUUAAAUGUGCUCCCUUCCCUAAAGUUAAAGACAAUCAAACUUCCAUGCAGACUCAGAAUUUCUUUGUAUUUGUUGAGAUUCCAAAAUCAAAUUUAAUCAAAACUAUUAUCAAUCUUUACUGUGUGUUUGUGUAGGUAAUUCAAAGUAAGAAAGAAGUCAUUAUUGCAGUUAGCUAAAUCUUCAAAUACAAUUAAACAAUGCUUAAGUUAAAAUUACUGACUAAUAAAAGCCUUUCUAUAAACAAUUGCAUUGAAUGCCACUAUUAAAUACUUUGUGUACUAUAUAUAUAAUAUUGCAUCUCAGGUAUAUGACUAGCAUCUCUGAACUAUUGUAUAAAGUAUAAAGUGUAUCAGACUCAAUUAAAUCAUAUCUUGGCUGAUCUAAAAUCUUAUUGGAAUACAUAAAAGUGUAAAAAUACAAAUCGGCAGAUUGUGACUGAAUAAAAAAAAAAGCCUAUUAGCUGUAUAAAAUAAAUAAAUCUACCAUUGUCAUGUGACCUUAACGUUAAUAAAAUGUGGAUAAUUGAUUGGUGCAUUUAUGUAUAUGUGUACUAAAUAAAUUUACUUGUUCUAUUCUUGUCUAUCAAAUUAACGAUUUUACUUUUUUCUAGUUAACAAGAGAAAUUAAAAAAAAAGUCACCUGACUUUGUAAAUUCUGAAUAAAAAAUAAUAUUUUUUUAAUAAAUGGGUAAAACUGUCAUUUAAACUAUAGUUUUAAAAGUCUUGCACAUCAAACCGCCAUUUUUACCUCUCCAAAGUAGUUUUGUAAUUAAAAUGGGGGUUACACAUUUACAUGGAGAAAUCGAUUCCACAUCUGUCACUCUUAUGUAAUUAUAAUAAUUUUACUCUCUGGUAUAAUUUUCAACAUCACCAUAUAAGGAAAUGAAAUGUUGCAUCAAUUUACAGUAGACAAAAUGUUAACAUAUAAUAUAUAUCAAUUAGAAUACAAAAUACUCUAAAAUUGGCAUGUAAGUACAAAAGAUGAAAUUUAAGACUUAAGUAAAUAUUGCACUCUAAUGUAUCUAACUGAAACACCUCAGGCAGUUAAAUGUUCUUUUCUUAAGAGAAUAAUUUUAGUUGUUAAAAAAACCCUAUAAACCAUUUUUUCAUAUCUCUUAAAAUGAUAAGGAUGCCUGAUGUUUGAUCAUAAAACAUUGAAAACAUCCCACCCUGCCCUGCCCUAUUCUGCUAGCACUAGCAUAUUUCAUUCAAUAUGCAAAUAUUUGAAAAAGUUUCACAUCAUAAUAAACAUGUAUAGCUGUUUUAUAUAUUAAUACAUAACUUUGUUAUAAUUGAAAUCCUUUAGAAAAAUUUACAGGAAAGGAAAUUUUAGUUUUACCUGCAUGGCUUCUACCCAACCUUUUUAUUUUCACAAAACCCCAUGCCUAGUUAUUUAGGGGCACUUUCUAUAUCCUUUCUCUAUUUUAAGUAUAACAUCAUGAUCAAAGCAUUGAAUAUUCCAAGGCAUUAUCUCAAUAAGCAUAAUAUUUAAGACACUAGCCCUGAAAGAAUUUCAUCUUAAGUAUCCGAGGUUGAAUAAAGUUUAAAGAUGUGAUCAUCUUAAAUACAUAUACACAUACACAG
RNAcentral lists this long non-coding RNA (1983 nucleotides) under Mytilus galloprovincialis (Mediterranean mussel). Lineage: Eukaryota; Metazoa; Mollusca; Bivalvia; Mytilida; Mytilidae. The record is from RNAcentral.